UACGGAGGGAGCUAGCGUUGUUCGGAAUUACUGGGCGUAAAGCGCACGUAGGCGGCUAUUCAAGUCAGAGGUGAAAGCCCGGGGCUCAACCCCGGAACUGCCUUUGAAACUAGAUAGCUAGAAUCUUGGAGAGGUCAGUGGAAUUCCGAGUGUAGAGGUCAAAUUCGUAGAUAUUCGGAAGAACACCAGUGGCGAAGGCGACUGACUGGACAAGUAUUGACGCUGAGGUGCGAAAGCGUGGGGAGCGAACAGG
Molecule: ribosomal RNA, 253 nt
Filed under: uncultured bacterium
Lineage: Bacteria
Description: partial 16S ribosomal RNA
Rfam family: Bacterial small subunit ribosomal RNA
Source: RNAcentral